GGGUAGAGCACUGUUUCGGCAAGGGGGUCAUCCCGACUUACCAACCCGAUGCAAACUGCGAAUACCGGAGAAUGUUAUCACGGGAGACACACGGCGGGUGCUAACGUCCGUCGUGAAGAGGGAAACAACCCAGACCGCCAGCUAAGGUCCCAAAGUCAUGGUUAAGUGGGAAACGAUGUGGGAAGGCCCAGACAGCCAGGAUGUUGGCUUAGAAGCAGCCAUCAUUUAAAGAAAGCGUAAUAGCUCACUGGUCGAGUCGGCCUGCGCGGAAGAUGUAACGGGGCUAAACCAU
This 292-nucleotide ribosomal RNA is filed under the name Shigella sonnei. RNAcentral describes it as "partial 23S ribosomal RNA". It matches the Rfam family "Bacterial large subunit ribosomal RNA", at positions 900 to 1190 of the family's 2925-position model. The record is from RNAcentral. Lineage: Bacteria; Pseudomonadati; Pseudomonadota; Gammaproteobacteria; Enterobacterales; Enterobacteriaceae.